This 497-nucleotide ribosomal RNA is filed under the name uncultured bacterium. RNAcentral's name for it is "partial 16S ribosomal RNA". It matches the Rfam family "Bacterial small subunit ribosomal RNA", at positions 28 to 507 of the family's 1533-position model. The record is from RNAcentral.
GAUGAACGCUGGCGGCGUGCCUAAUACAUGCAAGUCGAGCGGACGGACGAGAAGCUUGCUUCUCUGAUGUUAGCGGCGGACGGGUGAGUAACACGUGGAUAACCUACCUAUAAGACUGGGAUAACUUCGGGAAACCGGCGCUAAUACGGGAUAAUAUUUUGAACCGCAUGGGUCAAAAGUGAAAGACGGUCUUUGUGGCACGUCUAGAGGGAUCCGCGCUGCAUUAGGUAGUUGGGCAGGUAAAGGCUUUCCAAGGCAAGUAUGCGUAGACGACCGGAGGGGCUGAUCGGCCACACUAGAACUGAGCCACCGUCCAGACUCCUGCGGGACGCAGCAGUAGGGAAUCUGCCGCAAUGGGCGAAAGCAUGACAGAGCAACGCCGCGUCAGUGACGAAGGUCUUCGGAUCGUAAAACUCUGUUAUUAGGGAAGAACAUAUGUGUAAGUAACUGUGCACAUCUUGACGGUACCUAAUCAGAAAGCAACGGCUAACUACGUG